UUUCUGACUUGAGACGAAUCAGAGCCCUGUGCUGCCUGUUUUCCAGUGACUGAGUUGUGUCGUAUAUUCCAUUUGGUUUUCACUUGUGCAGAGCAGGAUUCUAAAUUUAAUGGAUAGAUUUCAGUUCUGGGAACUGCAAAUAAAAAAUAUUAAAAAUCAAAGAAUAAAAUAAAACUAAAGACAGGACAGGAAAUGAGAAAUGUAGUUGGAAAUGAUGUGAAUGAAGCUGAAGGAAGAGAAAUUUCCAGGACUUAGCACAUAGUCGAUAGUCAAUACUGUCAAACGCUUCCAAGAGAAGCAGGCAGAGAAGCGAACGUGAGUUCCUUCCCCGGAAGUGGGCACGUCACAGAGAAGCUGCUCACCGGGAAGAAAGAACCUCGGAGAAAGCCACAUGCCUCUGCUCUUUUCCUGAUUCUGCCAUGUGCCAAACGGUCCUCGGCCUCAUGGUCCUUUGUCUCCUGGGUGCAGGCUUCCUUGAAGCAGAAGUCACCCAGACUCCCGGGCACCUGGUCAAAGGGACAGGACAGAAAGCGGAAAUGUACUGUGUCCCAAGAAAGGGACACAAUUAUGUUUGCUGGUAUCAACAGAUCCCAGCAAAAGAGUUCAAG
This is a long non-coding RNA of Camelus dromedarius (Arabian camel), 608 nucleotides long. RefSeq lists it as uncharacterized. The record is from RefSeq and is a predicted model, not a curated record. NCBI's taxonomy places the organism in Eukaryota, Metazoa, Chordata, Mammalia, Artiodactyla, Camelidae. The transcript has 3 exons.